AUGGCCCUGCACCCUGACCAUCGCCACGGCCCAUCAUUCUCGCGCUGCCGCAUCAUGCACUCACCACGCCGUGUGUGGCAUCCUCCCGACGAAGCGCCCCCGCUGUGUCGCGGGCUAAUUUUCCGGCGUCACCCUCCGCCUCCUCAGCGCACAGGCCGUUCACCUCCGCCACCCCAGGCCGUACACCACUGCGAAGAGAGCCUGUUCAACUACGUGAUAGAGAAUUUUUGUACCAGACAUAGUAUUAGUUCGAUGUGUAAUCUAUCAUCAGUCCAUGAAAAAUUACAGAAUAGUUGGUGUGUGUGCAGAAAUAUCGUCAGUGCAAGUUUCAAAACUCUGUAA
RNAcentral lists this ribosomal RNA (342 nucleotides) under Triticum aestivum (bread wheat). RNAcentral describes it as "partial small subunit ribosomal RNA". Lineage: Eukaryota; Viridiplantae; Streptophyta; Magnoliopsida; Poales; Poaceae. The record is from RNAcentral.